CCCUUAGAUGUUCUGGGCCGCACACGCGCUACACUGAAGGAGGCAGCGUGUACUCCUGGAUCGAAAGAUUUGGGUAACCCGCGAAUCUCCUUCGUGCUAGGGAUUGAGGUUUGCAAUUAUCCUUCAUGAACGAGGAAUUCCCAGUAAAUGCAAGUCAUAAGCUUGCGCUGACUACGUCCCUGCCCUUUGUACACACCGCCCGUCGCUACUACCGAUUGAAUGAUUUAGUGAGGACUUCGGACUGGGACCGAUGCGGCUUUCGGGCUGCGUCGGUAUUCUGGAAAGAUGUCCAAACUGUAUCAUUUAGAGGAAGUAAAANUCGUAACA
This 327-nucleotide ribosomal RNA is filed under the name uncultured eukaryote. Its description in RNAcentral is "partial 18S ribosomal RNA". It matches the Rfam family "Eukaryotic small subunit ribosomal RNA", at positions 1470 to 1796 of the family's 1831-position model. The record is from RNAcentral.